UUUACAAAUAAGUCAACAUGACCGAAAUGGUCAAUUGACCCCCUUAGGAGUUAUUGUUCUUUAUAGUCAAUUUUUAACAAUUUUCAUAAAAUUUGUAAAUUUUUACUAACAUUUUCCACUGAAACUAUGGGCCAAGUUCAUUAUAGAUAGAGAUAAUUUUAAGCAGCAAGAAUGUUCAGUAAAGUAAGAUGUACAAACACAUCACCAUCACCAAAACACAAUUUUGUCAUGAAUCCAUCUGCUUCCUUUAAUAUUCACAUAGACCAAGGUGAGCGACACAGGCUCUUUAGAGCCUCUAGUUUUGGUUGCCUAUAAUUGCUUACAAUCACUUCUUAUAAACUUUCAUGGAUAGCUGUCUCAUUGGCAAUCAUACCACAUCUCAGUUUUUUCAUAUUAGACAUGAAAAUGUAUUUCAACUUUUAUAUUCAUAUAAAAUUGAGAAUGGAAAUGGGGAAGGUGUCAAAGAGACAAC
RNAcentral lists this long non-coding RNA (472 nucleotides) under Mytilus galloprovincialis (Mediterranean mussel). The record is from RNAcentral. Lineage: Eukaryota; Metazoa; Mollusca; Bivalvia; Mytilida; Mytilidae.